Molecule: transfer RNA, 74 nt
Filed under: Staphylococcus aureus
Lineage: Bacteria; Bacillati; Bacillota; Bacilli; Caryophanales; Staphylococcaceae
Description: tRNA-Glu(ttc)
Rfam family: tRNA
About the family: Transfer RNA (tRNA) molecules are approximately 80 nucleotides in length. Their secondary structure includes four short double-helical elements and three loops (D, anti-codon, and T loops).
Source: RNAcentral
UGGCUCCUUGGUCAAGCGGUUAAGACACCGCCCUUUCACGGCGGUAACACGGGUUCGAAUCCCGUAGGAGUCAU